UACGUAGGGUGCAAGCGUUGUCCGGAAUUAUUGGGCGUAAAGAGCUCGUAGGCGGUUCGUCGCGUCGGCUGUGAAAUCCCGAGGCUCAACCUCGGGUCUGCAGUCGAUACGGGCGGACUGGAGUACUGCAGGGGAGACUGGAAUUCCUGGUGUAGCGGUGAAAUGCGCAGAUAUCAGGAGGAACACCGGUGGCGAAGGCGGAUCUCUGGGCCUUACCUGACGCUCAGGUGCGAAAGCUAGGGGAGCGAACAGG
Molecule: ribosomal RNA, 253 nt
Filed under: uncultured bacterium
Lineage: Bacteria
Description: partial 16S ribosomal RNA
Rfam family: Bacterial small subunit ribosomal RNA
Source: RNAcentral